Molecule: ribosomal RNA, 854 nt
Filed under: uncultured bacterium
Lineage: Bacteria
Description: bacterial SSU rRNA
Rfam family: Bacterial small subunit ribosomal RNA
Source: RNAcentral
GGCAGCAGGAAUGCAAUAUUUGCUGGCGACCGGCGCACGGGUGCGUAACACGUAUACAAUCUGCCUUUACAGGGGGAUAGCCCGGAGAAAUCCGGAUUAAUACCCCAUAAUAGAUCGAAUGGCAUCAUUUGAUUUUGAAAGCUCCGGCGGUUAAAGAUGAGUAUGCGUCUGAUUAGCUAGUUGGUGAGGUAACGGCUCACCAAGGCGACGAUCAGUAGGGGAUCUGAGAGGAUUAACCCCCACACGGAUACUGAGACACGGAUCCGACUCCUACGGGAGGCAGCAGUAAGGAAUAUUGGACAAUGCCCGCAAGGGUGAUCCAGCCAUGCCGCGUGCAGGAAGACGGCCCUAUGGGUUGUAAACUGCUUUUACACCGGAGAAAACCUCCCCUCGUGAGGGGAGCUGAUAGUAUGGUGAGAAUAAGCAUCGGCUAACUUCGUGCCAGCAGCCGCGGUAAGACGAAGGAUGCAAGCGUUAUCCGGAUUCAUUGGGUUUAAAGGGAGCGUAGGUGGCCUUAUAAGUCAGUGGUGAAAUCUCUGGGCUUAACCCAGAAAUUGCCAUUGAUACUGUAGGGCUUGAGUACAGUUGCUGUGGGCGGAAUAUGACAUGUAGUGGUGAAAUACAUAGAGAUGUCAUAGAACACCGAUUGCGAAGGCAGCUCACAAAACUGUAACUGACACUGAGGCUCGAAAGUGCGGGGAUCAAACAGGAUUAGAUACCCUGGUAGUCCGCACCGUANACGAUGAUUACUCGCUGCUAGAGGGCAACUUUUAGUGGCUUAGCGAAAGCGAUAAGUANUCCACCUGGGGAGUACGCCGGCAACGGUGAAACUCAAAGGAAUUGACGGGGGCCCG